Molecule: ribosomal RNA, 301 nt
Filed under: uncultured bacterium
Lineage: Bacteria
Description: partial 16S ribosomal RNA
Rfam family: Bacterial small subunit ribosomal RNA
Source: RNAcentral
CAGCCGCCGCGGGAAUACGAAGGGGGCUAGCGUUGCUCGGAAUGACUGGGCGUAAAGGGCGCGUAGGCGGUUUGUACAGUUGGAUGUGAAAUUCCUGGGCUUAACCUGGGGGCUGCAUUCAAUACGUGCAGGCUUGAGUGGGGAAGAGGGUCGUGGAAUUCCCAGUGUAGAGGUGAAAUUCGUAGAUAUUGGGAAGAACACCGGUGGCGAAGGCGGCGACCUGGUCCUUGACUGACGCUGAGGCGCGAAAGCGUGGGGAGCAAACAGGAUUAGAUACCCCUGUAGUCCCUGUCUCUUAUAC